RNAcentral lists this ribosomal RNA (400 nucleotides) under uncultured bacterium. RNAcentral's name for it is "bacterial SSU rRNA". It matches the Rfam family "Bacterial small subunit ribosomal RNA", at positions 355 to 772 of the family's 1533-position model. The record is from RNAcentral.
UGGGGGAUAUUGCACAAUGGGGGAAACCCUGAUGCAGCGACGCCGCGUGGAGGAAGAAGGUUUUCGGAUUGUAAACUCCUGUCGUUAGGGACGAUAAUGACGGUACCUAACAAGAAAGCACCGGCUAACUACGUGCCAGCAGCCGCGGUAAAACGUAGGGUGCAAGCGUUGUCCGGAAUUACUGGGUGUAAAGGGAGCGCAGGCGGACCGGCAAGUUGGAAGUGAAAACUAUGGGCUCAACCCAUAAAUUGCUUUCAAAACUGCUGGCCUUGAGUAGUGCAGAGGUAGGUGGAAUUCCCGGUGUAGCGGUGGAAUGCGUAGAUAUCGGGAGGAACACCAGUGGCGAAGGCGACCUACUGGGCACCAACUGACGCUGAGGCUCGAAAGCAUGGGUAGCAAA